RNAcentral lists this transfer RNA (77 nucleotides) under Streptomyces sp. AA4. RNAcentral's name for it is "tRNA-Pro". It matches the Rfam family "tRNA". From Rfam's summary of the family: Transfer RNA (tRNA) molecules are approximately 80 nucleotides in length. Their secondary structure includes four short double-helical elements and three loops (D, anti-codon, and T loops). Lineage: Bacteria; Bacillati; Actinomycetota; Actinomycetes; Kitasatosporales; Streptomycetaceae. The record is from RNAcentral. RNAcentral also lists the same sequence under 2 other names.
CGGGAUGUGGCGCAGCUUGGUAGCGCAUCCGCUUUGGGAGCGGAGGGUCGCAGGUUCAAAUCCUGUCAUCCCGACCU